RNAcentral lists this ribosomal RNA (468 nucleotides) under uncultured bacterium. RNAcentral's name for it is "partial 16S ribosomal RNA". It matches the Rfam family "Bacterial small subunit ribosomal RNA", at positions 28 to 507 of the family's 1533-position model. The record is from RNAcentral.
GACGAACGCUGGCGGCGUGCUUAACACAUGCAAGUCGAACGGAAAAGCCCUGCUCUUGUGGGGUGCUCGAGUGGCGAACGGGUGAGUAACACGUGAGUAACCUGCCCUUGACUUUGGGAUAACUUCAGGAAACUGGGGCUAAUAACGGAUAGGAGCUCCUGCUGCAUGGUGGGGGUUGGAAAGUUUCGGCGGUUGGGGAUGGACUCGCGGCUUAUCAGCUUGUUGGUGGGGUAGUGGCUUACCAAGGCUUUGACGGGUAGCCGGCCUGAGAGGGUGACCGGCCACAUUGGGACUGAGAUACGGCCCAGACUCGUACGGGAGGCAGCAGUGGGGAAUAUUGCACAAUGGGCGGAAGCCUGAUGCAGCAACGCCGCGUGCGGGAUGACGGCCUUCGGGUUGUAAACCGCUUUCGCCUGUGACGAAGCGUGAGUGACGGUAAUGUGUAAAGAAGCACCGGCUAACUACGUG